Molecule: ribosomal RNA, 879 nt
Filed under: Triticum aestivum (bread wheat)
Lineage: Eukaryota; Viridiplantae; Streptophyta; Magnoliopsida; Poales; Poaceae
Description: partial small subunit ribosomal RNA
Source: RNAcentral
AUGGCCAACGAGGGCUUGAUCCCUCACGGAGCUGCGAGGUUGCCGGGGAAGGAGUGGCAGCCACAGCCAGAAGAGGGUGAGUGUGUGCUUUUGGCCACUCAUGUUGAUCGUGGGUUUUCCUUGCCGCCGAGUAUUUUCUUUCGUGGCUUUUUGAACUUCUUCGGAGCGCAGCUCCACCACUUUACCCCAAACUCCAUUGCCUAUCUUGCUGCGUUCGUGUCCAUGUGUGAGGGCUUCUUGGGCUGUCGACCGCACUGGGGUUUGUUCAAACAUAUAUUCACGUGUCGAUCUCAGACCGUGAAGAAGGCGAGCCCCGGUGAUGAGAGAACCCGAGUCGUCCAAAUGUGCGGGGGCCUGGGGAUUCAGGUGAGGAAUAAGAGCACCUUCCCGCCCAUGACCUUUCCCGAGUCCGUUAGAGGCUGGCAGUCGACUUGGUUCUACUGCCAGGUCCAGUCGACGCCAGGGCAGUCGAGUGGACUCCCUCCGUUCAUCAUGGACCGAGUGAGCAAGCCUUCCCCUUUGAAGCUGAUUCCGGAGGAGAGAGCCGACGUGAAGAUGUUGAUGGAGCGCGUGGUGCAGUUGGUUCGGGAGGGAGUGACAGGCAUGGACCUCUUGGAGGUUUUCCUCAGGCGUCGCAUCCAGCCUCUCCAGUUCCGGAGCCACUGCAUGUGGUUGUACUGUGGGACCGAAGACGAGACCAGAGUCCAUCCAGAAGCAGUCGACGAUGUCACUCUGGAAAGAUGGAUGGCGGCCGUCACCGGAAACAAGGACAACCCGCGCGGAGCCAGAAGGGUUCCUCCACUCGACCACAACAGCGACUCAGACAAGGUACACUUGCUCUGCUCUCCACUGUGCCCUCGUCGUAUUUAUUUCUGUUAA